RNAcentral lists this ribosomal RNA (253 nucleotides) under uncultured bacterium. Its description in RNAcentral is "partial 16S ribosomal RNA". It matches the Rfam family "Bacterial small subunit ribosomal RNA", at positions 524 to 776 of the family's 1533-position model. The record is from RNAcentral.
UACGUAGGUGGCAAGCGUUGUCCGGAUUUACUGGGCGUAAAGGAUGCGUAGGCGGAUGUUUAAGUGAGAUGUGAAAUACCCGAGCUCAACUUGGGUGCUGCAUUUCAAACUGGAUAUCUAGAGUGCAGGAGAGGAAAGCGGAAUUCCCAGUGUAGCGGUGAAAUGCGUAGAGAUUAGGAAGAACACCAGUGGCGAAGGCGGCUUUCUGGACUGUAACUGACGCUGAGGCAUGAAAGCGUGGGGAGCAAACAGG